UGCCUGUGAUGCAUAGAUAUGCACGUAUUAUCAGACUUUAAAUGAUGACGAAUACAUUGUCACUACCACUGAGGCU
This is a small nucleolar RNA of Zingiber officinale, 76 nucleotides long. RefSeq annotates it as small nucleolar RNA snoR122. The record is from RefSeq and is a predicted model, not a curated record. Lineage: Eukaryota; Viridiplantae; Streptophyta; Magnoliopsida; Zingiberales; Zingiberaceae. The transcript has a single exon.